RNAcentral lists this ribosomal RNA (289 nucleotides) under uncultured Gemmata sp. Its description in RNAcentral is "partial 16S ribosomal RNA". Lineage: Bacteria; Pseudomonadati; Planctomycetota; Planctomycetia; Gemmatales; Gemmataceae. The record is from RNAcentral.
CUACCCGGGUUUCUAAUCCCGUUUGCUCCCCUAGCUUUCGCGCAUCAGCGUCAGAAGAGGUCCAGCAGCUCGCUUUCGCCACCGGCGUUCCUUCCAAUAUCAACGCAUUUCACCGCUCCACUGGAAGUUCCAACUGCCCCUACCUCCCUCCAGCUGACCAGUAUCCAAGGCACUUUUCCGGUUAAGCCGAAAGAUUUCACCCCAGACUUGAUCAACCGCCUACGCGCCCUUUAAGCCCAGUGAUUCCGAACAACGUUCGCACGGUUCGUCUUACCGCGGCGGCUGGCAC